UUCACCUUAGGAAGUGUAAUGGCUCAGAUUUGGGUGUAAGCAAGAUAAAUGUCAGUUAAGAAUGACAAAGAAUACUGAAUUUAUGAAGAACAGUUUUGAUAUUCUGAAGGAACUGGAGGAGUGCCAACAUUAAUGCUAAGCUCACCUUGAACCAUGUGGGAGCUGAAGGCACAGAAGGCUGUUCCUGUCACCUCAAAUAGGGACAUCAAGGGAUGUACCUUAAUACCAACCUUCGGCUCAUCAGACAUAUGCACAGACUUGGAGAUGAGUGACUUGGAUCCUGUUCUCACAGGAUGUAUUUGUCUUUUGUUCAGACCUUGUGCUUCUAGUAAGUGCUUUUGUUUGCUUAUUUAUAACACUGCCCUUGAUUUUUCAGAUUCCAUUGAACUUCACACUGAACUCUCUCUGCACACGAUUCUAUCUUCAGUUUCUUCCUACAGGAUGUAUGAAUUGGUGCCUUGAUCAGGGAGCAAUCUAGCAAUAUGGUACCUGGUCUUUAUGAUUACAGAUGGAAGAA
This is a long non-coding RNA of Lagopus leucura (white-tailed ptarmigan), 517 nucleotides long. RefSeq lists it as uncharacterized. The record is from RefSeq and is a predicted model, not a curated record. NCBI's taxonomy places the organism in Eukaryota, Metazoa, Chordata, Aves, Galliformes, Phasianidae. The transcript has 3 exons.